CCCCCCUCAGAUCCUCUCCCUUCUCCCCCGUGCAGCGAACCCUAGCCCCUCUCUCCCCCGCACACCACUCCUCCUCCCUUCCAGAUCACAGCCGCCACCUCCUCCUUUCUAGAUCGCCACCUCCACCUCCCUCCGGACGAGCUCCCCGCCGUCCAUGGCCUCCCCCACGCCCUUCUCCCCCGUGAGCCCUCUAUCUCUCCCUCGCACGACUCCUCUACUCCACUCGAUUCCGGCGAGUUGAGGCGGCUCUCGCCGGCGCGCAGCACACCCCGGGGUUCAGGCGGUGUUGUGCGCGGCGGUGGCACUGGCGCUGUGCGCAGGCGGCAUUGGCGCGUCACCUGCGGCAAGGGGCGCGGGGUGCCGGAAGCACGUGCGGAGGGUCACGGAGUACGGGGCGGUGGGGGACGGCAAGACGCUCAACACGGCGGCAUUCGCCAGGGCGGUGGUGGACCUAGGCAGGCGCGCGGGCCACCGCGGCGCAGCGCUGGUGGUGCCGGCGGGGCGGUGGCUCACUGGGCCCUUCAACCUCACCAGCCGCUUCACCCUCUUCCUCCACCGCGGCGCCGAGAUCCUCGCAUCCCAGGGAUUUUCUUUACAGUGCUGGGCGUAGUGAUGUUCAUCCCUGGGUUCUACUACACAAGAAUAGCAUAUUAUGCUUACAAAGGGUACCAGGGCUUCUCUUUUGCCAACAUCCCUCCCAUCUGAAAUGAUUUGCUGUAAUGACGGGCAUGGGCAUGGCAGGGAGCUCCGCAUCCGAGUCCCAGCCCACCCACCCCUCACCCCUCGCUUUGAUCCCAAGGCACUGCGCGGUUCCCGGCCAGUUCAUGAUUUUGGCUUCUGCGGGUUCUGAUCAGUGAAUAUAUUUCUGCUUGUAAGAGGGUGUUUGGUUGGACGGUAAACUUGCUGCACAACUGGACCUCGUUACAUGCAGUGAAACAAAUUACCACAUCACUGGUGAGCUUAUUUACAUAAGAACACAAGCAUGACUAGAUCUAAGAAUCACAGAGAUUAAGUCAGCAUAUCUGAUAAUUGCUUUCGUUGCUUGUAUGUUCAGUUUACGGGUCUCCUUUGACUGCACAAGCUGAAUAUCACUCCCUCUGUUCAUAAAUAAGUCAUGUGCAAAGAGGUUGCCUUCAGUUUACUUUCUGCCUGUAGAGUUACUGUGUUUCUGAUGGAUUUUGAAAUCAUACCAUAUGUUUUCUUAUAAGCAAAUUAUAUUGAUGGUUGAAAGAUUUUAUAUGCUUUUGAUGCGUGAUCCUUCUAAUGCUAGGUGAUUUGUUUCUUGGAAUUUGGAAGAGGAAGACGAUGAAGCGUUCUGGUUGUACUUCAUAGCUAGUUUCAUUGUAUUUUGUACUGGUCUGGUUGUAUGAACAGUAUGUAAAUAUUGUAAUAGGCUACACUUAUUGGUCUAGUUGUAUUUUGUACUGGU
Molecule: long non-coding RNA, 1429 nt
Organism: Triticum aestivum (bread wheat)
Lineage: Eukaryota; Viridiplantae; Streptophyta; Magnoliopsida; Poales; Poaceae
Exons: 4
Source: RefSeq, a predicted model, not a curated record